Molecule: long non-coding RNA, 253 nt
Organism: Trachymyrmex septentrionalis
Lineage: Eukaryota; Metazoa; Arthropoda; Insecta; Hymenoptera; Formicidae
Exons: 3
Source: RefSeq, a predicted model, not a curated record
UCGACAUCCGUCAAAUGAAACGGAUUGUUUGCUUACGUGACAUCUGAUAACUUUGACACGGCAAACUAACAUCGGUGAAGAAUGUUUGUAUCUGUGGGUAAAAAUUCGGGCAUUUCUGUUAGACCGCGAUGACUGCAAUUGACUGAAAUAAAAACUAUAAGCUGUCUCUGCGAAGAAGAUGCAUUUUCUCGUUACCACGAUUAUCUUGACAACCGGGACAAGCGGUCUUCCAUCAUGCGGCGUGGCACAAAGU